UUGGCCCUCCCAGCCCCUGUAGGGCUCCUCCUCCACCCAUAGGCCACCCGAGCAUCCUCCCACAUGCCCUCCCCCUCUCUCUCCCACACCUCCCGUCACCCCUGGUUGGGCAGCCGCUCCAUUGAACGGGCAUGGCUGCCACCCGGGGCAACACCUCUGGCACCGCCCCUCACCACCAAUGCCGAGCACUAUCACCAUGUCAUCCUUGUCGUCUCGCCCGUUCUUAUCCUCGCCCCACCCCGCCUAUAAAACACGAGCACCAACCCCUCCAGAACGAACUCCCACUCCCAAUCCUCCAUUACCAGUGAACCGAGCUCCUAAGCUCUUCGCGUCGCUAGCUCGAUUCCUCCCAACUCCAGCCCUCUCCAUUCGAUUCCUCUUGCCCAAAGAUGUGCCACUCCCUCAGCUCCACCCUCAGCCCCUCCUCGUCGCUCGCCGUCCACCCUAUCGGCCGGAAUCGGAGUUUCCCCCAACUUCUUGAACUUCACCCGCUGCCGCCCAUGCCUCGCCGUGGCGCCCCAUGCCCCGGCCCUCCUCGUCGUCAACUAAUGGCUCAAAUGGAACCGCGAAGUUAAUAUCGCCGACGGAACCUACGAGCUCCACCCCACGCCGAAAGAGGAACAUACCGCAGAGCUACAUCACGUGGGAGCUGAGCCCGAGCCAGAUCAAGACCCCGAAGACCUACUAACUUUCUCUGAACCUGAAGAUAAGCCCCAGUGCAUGAAUACCUAUAUUCAAACUUAUUCAAUGUGUUGAUGCUUAUGAUUGUGCAUAUACGUUUCUAGGAGUGGCUUGAAACCAUAGGUGCAUGAAACUUAGUACCUUUAAUCUGAACACUAGUAUGUUAAGACGAGAGAUGCAAUGCUUAAAUAGGACUCGGUAAAAGACGAGUGAUUGUCUGUCACUCACGAGCUAUAGGAGUUGAUUGCUUUACUUAUAUUAUAACCAUAAGGACGAUGGACGGGGCUGGGCUUAUUGUUCGGUACUUGUUGGUUUGCCCGUGUAUCUACUUAAAAUGGACUAAGGUUGAAAAGUGAGGGUGUUCGUGAUCAAGUGGUUAAAAGUACUAAUUUCAUACAUAGUAUGGGAUGGGGAAGCCUAGUACCUGAUUGAACCAGGACGUGAGAGUUUCGUUCCACUAUCUUUGGAAACUGAGUUUUCCCCUGGUGCAUCAUGUGGUGACAGGUGCAGUCACACUAUGAUAGAGGCCGAGACUGUGGGGCCUUGUACCAAGGGAAGUGGACCCAACACGUAGCUGGGAAUCGAUGGGGACGGCUAACAAGUGAAGUGACUUGUUGUGCUGCGCGGAUGUCGUGGGAUUAGGUUCGCCAUGCAUGGUUAAUAAACUCGAUUCGAAUCGCCUGCCUCUCACAGUUUGGGACUACUUGAUCGCUAUGCUGCACUGAGUAAAAAAUGGAACAUGAUGAUGAUAUUAAACUUGAUGCUUGUCAUUAAUUUUUUUGAAAACUAUGUUUGCUUAGUAUAAGUUGCUAAUUUAGGCUGGUUAAUGAACUUAGAACCUGAGCUAAAAUAUUGAAAGUAAGGAUCAACACUAGUCACUUUUGGCAAAAACAAACCCACAGCCAAAGAACUUACAUGUCUAGAGGUUAGUGGUUUAGCAACCACUAUUAGGUCAGUCUUGCUGAGUAUUAGUUGCUCAGCCUUGCUUGUGGCAUAACCUUUCAGGCAAUGUCAAUAGUUUGGCUGCUAGCGUCACUUGGCCUACCCAGCUCCCUCCAGGUUGGACGGUCAAGUGGGAUCCUUCCUCGGACGGCGAGGACAGGGGUCACUGAUGUCAUGAUCGGCUUCGUCAUGAUAUCAUGUACCGACGUUUAGCUUCCGCAUGUUUUACUUUUUGUUGUUUUUAAUCUUGCAAACUAUGUCUGAAUUUCGCAAAACUCUAAUGUAAUAAUUGUUGAACUAUGUUAAUGAGAUGGGAAUGUUGUAAUCUCUGUAACCAGUCA
This is a long non-coding RNA of Setaria italica (foxtail millet), 1964 nucleotides long. RefSeq lists it as uncharacterized. The transcript is spliced from 2 exons. NCBI's taxonomy places the organism in Eukaryota, Viridiplantae, Streptophyta, Magnoliopsida, Poales, Poaceae. The record is from RefSeq and is a predicted model, not a curated record.